CCCUUAGAUGUCCUGGGCCGCACGCGCGCUACACUGAUGCAUGCAACGAGUUUAUAACCUUGGCCUGAAAGGUCUGGGUAAUCUUUUGAACGUGCAUCGUGAUAGGGAUAGAUUAUUGCAAUUGUUAAUCUUGAACGAGGAAUUCCUAGUAAACGCGAGUCAUCAGCUCGCAUUGAUUACGUCCCUGCCCUUUGUACACACCGCCCGUCGCUCCUACCGAUUGAGUGGUCCGGUGAGGCUUUGGGAUCUGAGCGGAAAGAGCGUUUCGCUGUUUCUGCCCGGAAAACUCAGUCGAACCUUAUCAUUUAGAGGAAGGAGAAGUCGUAACA
Molecule: ribosomal RNA, 329 nt
Filed under: uncultured eukaryote
Lineage: Eukaryota
Description: partial 18S ribosomal RNA
Rfam family: Eukaryotic small subunit ribosomal RNA
Source: RNAcentral